Molecule: ribosomal RNA, 296 nt
Filed under: Bacillus licheniformis
Lineage: Bacteria; Bacillati; Bacillota; Bacilli; Caryophanales; Bacillaceae
Description: partial 16S ribosomal RNA
Rfam family: Bacterial small subunit ribosomal RNA
Source: RNAcentral
UUCAUGGAGAGUUUGAUCCUGGCUCAGGACGAACGCUGGCGGCGUGCCUAAUACAUGCAAGUCGAGCGGACCGACGGGAGCUUGCUCCCUUAGGUCAGCGGCGGACGGGUGAGUAACACGUGGGUAACCUGCCUGUAAGACUGGGAUAACUCCGGGAAACCGGGGCUAAUACCGGAUGCUUGAUUGAACCGCAUGGUUCAAUCAUAAAAGGUGGCUUUUAGCUACCACUUACAGAUGGACCCGCGGCGCAUUAGCUAGUUGGUGAGGUAACGGCUCACCAAGGCGACGAUGCGUAG